This 577-nucleotide ribosomal RNA is filed under the name uncultured bacterium. RNAcentral describes it as "partial 16S ribosomal RNA". It matches the Rfam family "Bacterial small subunit ribosomal RNA", at positions 355 to 920 of the family's 1533-position model. The record is from RNAcentral.
UGGGGAAUUUUGGACAAUGGGCGAAAGCCUGAUCCAGCAAUGCCGCGUGUGUGAAGAAGGCCUUCGGGUUGUAAAGCACUUUUGUCCGGAAAGAAAUCCUUGGCUCUAAUACAGUCGGGGGAUGACGGUACCGGAAGAAUAAGCACCGGCUAACUACGUGCCAGCAGCCGCGGUAAUACGUAGGGUGCAAGCGUUAAUCGGAAUUACUGGGCGUAAAGCGUGCGCAGGCGGUUUGCUAAGACCGAUGUGAAAUCCCCGGGCUCAACCUGGGAACUGCAUUGGUGACUGGCAGGCUAGAGUAUGGCAGAGGGGGGUAGAAUUCCACGUGUAGCAGUGAAAUGCGUAGAGAUGUGGAGGAAUACCGAUGGCGAAGGCAGCCCCCUGGGCCAAUACUGACGCUCAUGCACGAAAGCGUGGGGGAGCAAAACAGGAUUAGAUACCCCUGGGUAGUCCACGCCCUAAAACGAUGUCAACUAGUUGUUGGGGAUUCAUUUCCUUAGUAACGUAGCUAACGCGUGAAGUUGACCGCCUGGGGAGUACGGUCGCAAGAUUAAAACUUAAAUGAAUUGACGGGGUC